GCAACAUUACGUACAAAUUUAAUUAUAAUUCGUUGUGAUAUUAAACUUCAUUUCAAAGAAAAUCUAUAUUUAAAAAAAAAGAAGCAAAAAUCUACUAUUAUUUCCAUAACUUAUUGGCGCGAGCCAAACAUCGUGUGUACUAGUAUUAUUUAUGUCCAUACAAAACGACAGUGUGGAUCAAAAGUUUUAGUUUAUCCAUUCAUUCAUAUCACUUCUACACACUUCUUCUUUUCUUCUCCUUCACUCACACCAAACUUCCAUCACUUCAACAAAUUUCUUAACUUAAG
Molecule: non-coding RNA, 287 nt
Organism: Vicia faba (fava bean)
Lineage: Eukaryota; Viridiplantae; Streptophyta; Magnoliopsida; Fabales; Fabaceae
Source: the annotation of a GenBank genome assembly